GAGUUUGAUCAUGGCUCAGGACGAACGCUGGCGGCGUGCCUAAUACAUGCAAGUCGAACGCUUUUUCCAAUCAUCGUAGCUUGCUACACCGAUUGGAAAUUGAGUGGCGAACGGGUGAGUAACACGUGGGUAACCUGCCCAAAAGAGGGGGAUAACACUUGGAAACAGGUGCUAAUACCGCAUAACCAUGAUGACCGCAUGGUCAUUAUGUAAAAGAUGGUUUCGGCUAUCACUUUUGGAUGGACCCGCGGCGUAUUAACUUGUUGGUGGGGUAACGGCCUACCAAGGUGAUGAUACGUAGCCGAACUGAGAGGUUGAUCGGCCACAUUGGGACUGAGACACGGCCCAAACUCCUACGGGAGGCAGCAGUGGGGAAUAUUGCACAAUGGGCGAAAGCCUGAUGCAGCGACGCCGCGUGAGCGAUGAAGUAUUUCGGUAUGUAAAGCUCUAUCAGCA
RNAcentral lists this ribosomal RNA (456 nucleotides) under uncultured bacterium. RNAcentral describes it as "bacterial SSU rRNA". It matches the Rfam family "Bacterial small subunit ribosomal RNA", at positions 9 to 441 of the family's 1533-position model. The record is from RNAcentral.